GUGCUUGCAUCAGCAGCACAUAUACUAAAAUUGAAAACAAAAACAGAUUAGCACAGCCCUAAACAAGAAUGAAAUGUAAAUUUGUGAAGUGUUCCAUUAAAAA
Molecule: small nuclear RNA, 103 nt
Organism: Peromyscus maniculatus bairdii (prairie deer mouse)
Lineage: Eukaryota; Metazoa; Chordata; Mammalia; Rodentia; Cricetidae
Source: Ensembl